CUAGCGGUUACGUGUCACAUAGUACAGGUACUACGCCCACAGCGACAAGUGAAAAACUUCUUUUGGUCUCUGUAGUGUCCCGGUGUCAUUUUUACCCUUCCCCGAGAAGAGGUGGCUUUCACCCUCCAAGUAAGAGCAGCUCUGUGCUCAGGUCCAAAAGUGAAGUCGAGGAUGAGAGGAACCUAAAUCCAAAUGUUCAAGCAAAUCCGUAGUGACGAGGAGAAGGGUUGGUUUUCACCCCCCCCCCCCCCAAGUAAAAGCAACCAACGGCACAAGUCCAAAAGUGGAGGGAAUUUUUAGUUGGGCUGUGGCUCUGUGAAUUCUCUCGUCAGACAACACUUUGAAGCCGAUACUGGAAAUCAUCGCUACCAUGAAGAUUCAUAUGAUUAAGGACUGAAAUUGAAUUGUGAUGAAGCAGCCUUUUAGCAAAAUUCGGAAAUGAAGAGAGCUAUCCGUCGACAGUAUAUAUUUUACACUGUCAUGGAGUUGCUCUCUUUAUAAACGAAUUUUUUAUCUACAAAGACGGAACAUAGAACUACUAGCCAUGGAGUUAAAGUUAAGUUAAAUUUAGAGAUGACUCGCCAAAGAAAGUAUUUAGAAAUUUGUACAUUUAUUUCGUAGAUACAGAGAGGAUCUAAAUUAUGGAAUACAUUCAUUUUCUCUAAAAUGGACGACUUUAGAGAAAAACUCCGAAAUAGGUCGUUUUUUAUUUUCAAAUUCCAUUUUUUGGCAUAUUUUUCAUACUAGUGACGUCAUCCAUCUGAGCGUGGUGACGUAAUCGAUGAUUUUUUAAAAUUGGAUUAGCAGUCGUGUGGCACCUCAUUUGAAAGGGUGUUUAAUUCUCUAUACAGUAAUUUAAACACUAAUAUCAUUAUUUAUACAGGGUGACCAAAAUAAUAAUUUUUGAAUUAAAUUAAUUGACGAAAAAAAGAAGAAUGUAUGCAAUUUAUUUAACUCAAAAUACAUUUUAUCGCCGUCAGAAAAUAGAAAAAAGAAUGUGUGUGUACUUUGUACGCAUGUAAGAAGUUAUACUUCUAUUAUAUGAUUUAAACGAAAUUAAUAUACUUUUUAUUUAUAUUUUGUUUAAAUAUUAAACUAAUUUAUACUUACUACUUCUCAAACAUUUUUAUUAGAACAGUGCCAAAAAUUAAAAUAAUAAAAGGAUAAAACACACACAAACACAUUAAACAAGCCACAAAUGAUGUCUGAACAUUAAUUGUCGAAAAUUUUUUUAACUAAAUACGUAUUUUCUGAAAAUACAAUUAUAUAAUAAAUAUACUUACAAUCAUAAAAUGUAUUAAAAAAAACAAAAAAGAAAGUUUCUAUUGGGACUCGAACCAGCGCUGAUAAGAGCGGUUGGUAUUGAAAUUCAUUCGCCUUCUCCUCUUAGCCACGGACACUAUGUGUCAUUAUUUACGAAGAUCGACUAACUAAACGGAUUAAACUUGUGAUAUUUUGAUAUUUUGAAAAUUGAUCAAAUUAUUUUAAUUUUGAAUUGAAAUGAUUUAGAAUUGAAAAAAUACAACAAAACAUAGAGUAAAAAAACAAUAUAUUAGGUGAAUAUUGAUAGAAAUUUUGAUGGUAAUCAAAUUAUAUAAAUAAAAGUAUUACAUACUAUGUAUUUUGGCAGAUCAAAUAGGUAGGUUUAUACUCAUGAUACAUUCACAAUUAUUACGUACCUGUUGCUUUUAAAAACUAUUUAAAAGUCACUACAAUAUUAUAAACUUUUUUGUUUCUGUCCUCACAACAAUAAAACUAAUAUAUUAUACAUUUGUUUACCUUUACCUUUACCUCCAAACCACAGCUGCCAUAUCGGAUAAUUUUUGACAUGUCAUUUGAACAUCCAAUCAGAACAAAGUUAUAAUGCGCAUGCGCCGGGCUGAUAGGUUUUAACAUAUAAAAAAAUCACCCUCUAUCGCCGGUAAAGAAGUAUAACUUUAAAAAAUGUUUAUUUGGCAAAUAAACAUUGCUUUUCGCUUAAAUUAAAUGUUCAAACUGCCAAGAUGUAGGUGGGAGAUUUAAUUAGUUUUGUGAUUUAAUUUAAGCGAAAAGAAAUGUUUAUUUGUAAAAUAAACAUUUUUUUCUAUUUACUGACAGCCGUGCAAUGUAUUUUGAGUUAAAUAAAUUACAUACAUUCUUCUUUUUGGGUCAAUUAUUUUAAUUCAAAAAUUAUCUUUUUGGGCACCCUGUGUAAAUAAUGAUAUUAUCGUUUAUAUUACUGAAUAGAGAAUUGAACACCCUUUCAAAUGAGGUGCCACACGACCCCUAUUCCCAUUAAAAAAUCAUUGAUUACGUCAUCACGCUCAGAUGGAUGACGUCACUAGUAUGAAAUAUAUGCCAAACAAUUUUAAUUUAAAAAUAAAAAUCGAUCUGUUUCAGGAUUUUUCUACAAAGUCGUCCAUUUUAGAGAAAAUGAAUUUAUUCCAUAAUUUAGAUCCUCUCGCUGUAUGUCGUCGCUGUGAAAGAAAACCGGCAUAAGUGCAAAAAAUCGAUUUUUGGGAUAUUGGUAUCAAAAUAUUUCUCUUACUUUUGUCUAUUUUUUAUGUCAAACCGCCAUAAAAUUAGGCCAAAAGAAAGUCAAUCAAAUGCCGUUAGGCCGGUUUGCAUAAUGUCUUAUCCACUACUUUACUUUACAGAAGACAUACCUAUUGCCCAUUGCGUCAGUCGGAACCUAGAGCUAAUUGGAAUAUAAUCAGUUCUCACUGCGGCUUAAGUGCAAACAGUAAUCAUAUUUUAAGGCCAUAGUUGCAUAGCUGCAUAUUUCUCUGGAUUUAGUCAAUAACCUGGUUAUUUGCUAGAAAUACUUCAACAAGCAAGACUUUUCAUAAUGUUAUCCCAGGAAAUCGUAUCCCUAGUGCGACUUAAACGGUAGUAAGCGAUAAAAAAUAAUAAUUGCAAAAUCUUUGAAACUCUCUGGUGAAAAAUGUCUCUUUUGCAUUUAUGUCGGUUUAAUUUCACAGCGACGUUGCGGAUUGUAAUUUGUAACUUAAUGUACUAUAGUAUAAUCUUAAAUUUAUUAUUAUAAUUAUUGGUAUUGUAAAAUAAAUAUGUUUUUCUACAACUUUGUUAAAAAUGCAAUUUUUAGCACUCCAUACGAGCGUUAAAAAUGCUACUUUAAGGCACUAGUGCUUUAAAAUUUUUAUGGCACUGCAAUUCGUAUUGACCGUAUAGGCAAUUUUGAUGUAAUGUCAAAAAAAUAUAUAAAUGAAAUGUCAGUCAAGUUCAAGUAAAAGUUUUUGUAGAUAUUGUCCUGUAAUUACGUUUGUAGAAAAAAUAUUGUAUGAUAUGCGUGUUAAAAAGUACAUUUUUAAGCCACUCAUGUGAAUUGCAGAACUCGCUAUCGCUCAUUCUGCAAACUUUCACAUGCGUGCCUUAAACGUGUACUUUUAACACUUAUAUCAUAAAUAACUAAUAAAUUAUUUUUGAAGUUAUACUUCUUUAGGCACGAUUGAGAUUGAGGGUGAAUUUAUAUUGAUCUGCGCGCAUGCGCACACCGAUAGUUUGGUAUUAGUCUUUAUACGGGCUCUGAUUGGGUGUUGAAAUGAUCUGUCAAUAAUUGUUCAAUAUGGAGGUUAUCGGUAAACAAAAAUGUUGUAUAAUAUAUUAGUUUUUAUUGUUGUGAGGACAGAAAUAAAAUCAAAUUUAUAAUUAUAGUGACUUUUUAACUAGUUUUGAAAAGCCACAGGUACGUAAUUCUAAAUGUUUCAGUUGUAUUCCAAUAAAAAAUUAUCUUCAUACCUAUUUGGAAAAUGUAAAAAAAAUAAUGUACUUACCUAGUACUUGCUAUGCUAUACCCCUAGUAGGCAAUGCUUUAAUUUACAUAAUCUUAUUACGAACAAACUUACAAAUUUUCAUCUAAUGUAUCGUUUUCUUACUCUAUAUAUUGUUGUAUUUUAAUUCAACAAAAAUCAAACUAAUAAAAAUUCAUAUAAACAAAAUGUCAAAAAGUUGUUCAGUUGGUGUAUAUUCCCACAUGACGUAUACGCGAAGGUGGUGCAGUUUGAAAUCGCUUGACUCGCGUACGGCGGGAUACACGGGAAGUAGGUUCAAGCCCAAUGCAAGUUAUAUCAUUUUUUUUAAUUUUUUUUUAUAGAUUUUAUGAUUGUAAAUAUAUUAUUAUAUAAUGUUUUUCAAAAAACACGUAUUUAAUUAAAAUUUUUGGCAACAAUUAUUGUUCAGAAAUCAUUUGUGGCAUUUUUCAAUGUGUUUGUGUGUGUUUUAUUCUUUUAUUUUUUUAAUUUUUGACAUUGCUUUAACAAAAAUUUUUGGAAAGUAGUAGAGAAACUGUUUAAAGUAUAUUGAUUUCGUUGAAAUCAAAUAAUAGAAGUAUAACUUCUUACGUGCGUACAAAGUACACACAUUCUUUUUUUAAAUAAGUUUAUUUCUUUAUUUAUGUUUUCAUAAAGAAUGACAGUUGACAGUUAUUUUAUCUUUAGAUUGUACAAUAGUAGAUUUCAUCUAACUGAUGUGGAAUGUCAAUAGGUAGGUACCUACGUACUGAAACACUAGCGUAUAUUAAUAUAUCUCCAAAAACCCUGUUAUAAUAGUUAUAAGUGGUGUAGGGCGACAAUAUAAUAGGUUCAAUACAAAGACAACUCAAUAUUAGAUAACCCUUAGCUGCUAUGGCCAAAAAUUGUAACA
Molecule: long non-coding RNA, 4641 nt
Filed under: Diabrotica virgifera virgifera (western corn rootworm)
Lineage: Eukaryota; Metazoa; Arthropoda; Insecta; Coleoptera; Chrysomelidae
Description: uncharacterized LOC114330867
Rfam family: mir-46/mir-47/mir-281 microRNA precursor family (bases 428-509)
Source: RNAcentral